Molecule: ribosomal RNA, 484 nt
Filed under: uncultured bacterium
Lineage: Bacteria
Description: partial 16S ribosomal RNA
Rfam family: Bacterial small subunit ribosomal RNA
Source: RNAcentral
AUUGAACGCUGGCGGCAGGCCUAACACGUGCAAGUCGAGCGGAUGAAGGGAGCUUGCUCCUGGAUUCAGCGGCGGACGGGUGAGUAAUGCCUAGGAAUCUGCCUGGUAGUGGGGGAUAACGUCCGGAAACGGGCGCUAAAACCGCAUACGUCCUGAGGGAGAAAGUGGGGGAUCUUCGGACCUCACGCUAUCAGAUGAGCCUAGGUCGGAUUAGCUAGUUGGUGGGGUAAAGGCCUACCAAGGCGACGAUCCGUAACUGGUCUGAGAGGAUGAUCAGUCACACUGGAACUGAGACACGGUCCAGACUCCUACGGGAGGCAGCAGUGGGGAAUAUUGGACAAUGGGCGAAAGCCUGAUCCAGCCAUGCCGCGUGUGUGAAGAAGGUCUUCGGAUUGUAGAGCACUUUAAGUCGGGAGGAAGGGCAGUAAGUUAAUACCUUGCUGUUUUGACGUUACCAACAGAAUAAGCACCGGCUAACUUCGUG